Molecule: ribosomal RNA, 1379 nt
Filed under: metagenome
Description: bacterial LSU rRNA
Rfam family: Bacterial large subunit ribosomal RNA
Source: RNAcentral
ACGUGAGAUACGAGACUAGUUUUUCAGCAAUGAAAAGCGAAGUGAAUGAUUCUCGGCUUCCGAGAAAAACCCCUAAGUGAGCAUAAUCUGUUCCCGUACCGUAAACCGACACAGGUGGGUGGGAAGAAUAUUCCAAGGCGUUGAGAAAACUUUGGUUAAGGAACUAGGCAAAAUGACACCGUAACUUCGGGAGAAGGUGUGACCACUUUUGUGAGUAACCUCGCGUUACAGAGCAUCGGUGGUUCGCAGUGAAUGGUGGGAAGCGACUGUUUAACAAAAACACAGGACUAUGCGAAGUUGAAAGACGAUGUAUAUGGUCUGACGCCUGCCCGGUGCUGGAAGGUUAAGGCAAGCUGUCAUCCGCAAGGAGAAGCAGUGAACUGAAGCCCCAGUAAACGGCGGCCGUAACAAUAACGGUCCUAAGGUAGCGAAAUUCCUUGUCGGGUAAGUUCCGACCUGCACGAAGGGCGUAACGACUUCCCAGCUGUCUCGACCAAGGACUCAGCGAAUUAGAAAUGCUGGUGCAGAUGCCAGCUACCCGUGGCAAGACGGAAAGACCCUGUGCACCUUUACUAUAGCUUGUCACUGAAAUUUGGAAACUGCUGUGUAGGAUAGGUGGGAGACUUUGAAACCAAGGCGCUAGCUUUGGUGGAGUCAACCUUGAAAUACCACCCUGAAUUUUCUAGAUUUCUAACCAAACUUCAUUAUCUGGGGUUGGGACAGUGGCUGGUGGGUAGUUUGACUGGGGCGGUCGCCUCCUAAAGAGUAACGGAGGCGCGCGAAGGUUCUCUCAGGCCGUUUGGAAAUCGGCCGUUGAGUGUAAGGACAUAAGAGAGCUUGACUGCGAGACGGACAUGUCGAGCAGGUACGAAAGUAGGUCCUAGUGAUCCGGUGGUUCUGUAUGGAAGGGCCAUCGCUCAUCGGAUAAAAGGUACGCCGGGGAUAACAGGCUGAUCUCCCCCAAGAGUUCACAUCGACGGGGAGGUUUGGCACCUCGAUGUCGGCUCAUCGCAUCCUGGGGCUGAAGAAGGUCCCAAGGGUUUGGCUGUUCGCCAAUUAAAGCGGUACGCGAGCUGGGUUCAGAACGUCGUGAGACAGUUCGGUCCCUAUCUGUCAUGGGCGUAGGAAAUUUGAGGGGAGUUGUCCUUAGUACGAGAGGACCGGGAUGAACGCACCGCUGGUGUUCCAAUUGUUCCGCCAGGAGCAGCGUUGGGUAGCCAUGUGCUGAAUUGAUAAACGCUGAAAGCAUCUAAGCGUGAAGCAAUCCCCAAGAUAAGAUUUCCGAUAACUUUAUGUUAUGUAAGUGCCGUUGGAGACUACAACGUUGAUAGGUCAGGUGUGUAAGGCCCGUAAGGGUUUCAGCUAACUGAUACUAAUUG